RNAcentral lists this ribosomal RNA (253 nucleotides) under uncultured bacterium. RNAcentral's name for it is "partial 16S ribosomal RNA". It matches the Rfam family "Bacterial small subunit ribosomal RNA", at positions 524 to 776 of the family's 1533-position model. The record is from RNAcentral.
UACAGAGGUCUCAAGCGUUGUUCGGAUUCAUUGGGCGUAAAGGGUGUGUAGGUGGCGCGCUAAGUCGGGUGUGAAAUUUCGGAGCUUAACUCCGAAACUGCAUUCGAUACUGCCGUGCUUGAGGACUGGAGAGGAGACUGGAAUUUACGGUGUAGCAGUGAAAUGCGUAGAUAUCGUAAGGAAGACCAGUGGCGAAGGCGGGUCUCUGGACAGUUCCUGACGCUGAGACACGAAGGCCAGGGGAGCAAACGGG